RNAcentral lists this transfer RNA (526 nucleotides) under uncultured Prochlorococcus sp. RNAcentral describes it as "partial 16S-23S ribosomal RNA intergenic spacer". The stretch from base 212 to 284 matches the Rfam family "tRNA". The record is from RNAcentral. Lineage: Bacteria; Bacillati; Cyanobacteriota; Cyanophyceae; Synechococcales; Prochlorococcaceae.
CAGGGAGACAACAAAAUGUUUAAUAUUAUUAUUUUGUCACCUUAGGUCGAUCGGUAUCUCACGUUCUUAAUUAAUUAAGAAUUUCAAUUCCUAAGUUUUUCUAGGUCACACCCAUUAUUUUUCCUGGGCCAUUAGCUCAGGUGGUUAGAGCGCACCCCUGAUAAGGGUGAGGUCCCUGGUUCAAGUCCAGGAUGGCCCAUAUCUCUAUGUUGGGGGUAUAGCUCAGUUGGUAGAGCGCCUGCUUUGCAAGCAGGAUGUCAGCGGUUCGAGUCCGCUUACCUCCACUGAUUACCACCUCUUCCAUAAUCUGUAGAAAGGAAAUUUUUUGAGUUGUGAUCAAAUUCUGAACGAAUCUAGCUUCCUAAUGAAAGAUUUAAGAUGCUGACUCAUUGAAUUAAUUUUCAUUUGUUUUUCAGAGACUUCAACUGCAUAGAUUAUUUUUUUAAAGACAAUAAGCAUCUUUAAUGAUGCAGAUUUAUUAUUUGUGCGAAUGCAUUAAUAACAAUUCUAUUAAGCUGAUGCUUCA